This 214-nucleotide long non-coding RNA is filed under the name Phaseolus vulgaris (common bean). RNAcentral describes it as "long non-coding RNA (PVUL_LNC001038)". Lineage: Eukaryota; Viridiplantae; Streptophyta; Magnoliopsida; Fabales; Fabaceae. The record is from RNAcentral.
CGACAUCGACUUGUGCCGACUUUGAUCGACAGGCUCGUGCUGACUUUGAUCGACAUCGACCCGAGCCGGCUCCACUCGACAUCAAACUAAGUCGACAUCGGCCGAUAUAAACCCGGAUCAAAUUCGCUCAACUUCAGCCCCUUCUGACUCUGCUCGACAUCGGCCUGGGCCAAGACUGGUUGACUUUGGCCCGGGCUGACUCGCUCGACAUCGG